RNAcentral lists this ribosomal RNA (666 nucleotides) under Triticum aestivum (bread wheat). Its description in RNAcentral is "partial small subunit ribosomal RNA". Lineage: Eukaryota; Viridiplantae; Streptophyta; Magnoliopsida; Poales; Poaceae. The record is from RNAcentral.
AUGGCUACUAUGCUGUGCGUACCUGAACCCAUGGAGAACCGAACAAGAUUCCACCAAAGGUGGAAAGGCUCCGCCAUGGCAAUGGCAUUGCAGCUCGCCAUCCAAUCACUCGCCGCAAGCCUCUUCCGCUCUCCUAACAAACCCGCCACCAAGCCCCCGAGCAACGGCCACCGCCACCCGCAGGAACCAACCGGCAGCAGCAGGUGCAGCGGCAGAAGGAGCCUUGCGGCGGCGGCGGCGGCGGCGGCAGUUGGCACGGCGCUCCUCGCGUCCCAGCUGCUGCCCCCCACGGCAGGCAUCGCGGGCGCGUUCGACCUCGACCUCCGGAUCACCAUCCCGGAGCAGUCGAGCGAGGAGGCCGAGGCCGUGGUGAGGACGCACGCGAGGAACCUGGUGCGCGUCAAGCAGUUCAUCGACGCCAGGUCGUGGCGGGAGCUGCAGACGGCGCUGCGGGCCAGCGCCGCCAACCUCAAGCAGGACCUGUACGCCAUCAUCCAGGCGAGGCCCCCGGGCCAGCGCCCCGAGCUCCGGAGGCUCUACUCCGACCUCUUCAACAACGUCACCAGACUGGACUAUGCAGCCAGAGACAAGGAUGAGCCCCAAGUGCAGGAAUGCUACGGUAACAUUGUGGCCGCCAUUGACCAGAUUUUUGCCAGGAUCAUGUAG